This 359-nucleotide ribosomal RNA is filed under the name uncultured Thauera sp. RNAcentral describes it as "bacterial SSU rRNA". It matches the Rfam family "Bacterial small subunit ribosomal RNA", at positions 1022 to 1382 of the family's 1533-position model. The record is from RNAcentral. Lineage: Bacteria; Pseudomonadati; Pseudomonadota; Betaproteobacteria; Rhodocyclales; Zoogloeaceae.
GGGAGCCAGGACACAGGUGCUGCAUGGCUGUCGUCAGCUCGUGUCGUGAGAUGUUGGGUUAAGUCCCGCAACGAGCGCAACCCUUGUCACUAGUUGCCAUCAUUUGGUUGGGCACUCUAGUGAGACUGCCGGUGACAAACCGGAGGAAGGUGGGGAUGACGUCAAGUCCUCAUGGCCCUUAUGGGUAGGGCUUCACACGUCAUACAAUGGUCGGUACAGAGGGCAGCUACACCGCGAGGUGAUGCUAAUCUCUAAAGCCGGUCUCAGUUCGGAUCGAAGUCUGCAACCCGACUUCGUGAAGUUGGAUUCGCUAGUAAUCGCGCAUCAGCCAUGGCGCGGUGAAUACGUUCCCGGGCCUU